CUUAACCCUAGAGGCCUUGCAGAUAUGGCUGCCGUGUCACAUGUGUGUCAGUAGGUGGCAGAGAGGAGGGAAGCUAUAUCUAUGAGUCUGGCGCCAGAGUACCCGGACAGAGAGCUAGCCUGAGAUU
Small nucleolar RNA from Grammomys surdaster, 127 nucleotides. RefSeq annotates it as small nucleolar RNA SNORA17. The transcript has a single exon. Lineage: Eukaryota; Metazoa; Chordata; Mammalia; Rodentia; Muridae. The record is from RefSeq and is a predicted model, not a curated record.